Molecule: ribosomal RNA, 492 nt
Filed under: uncultured bacterium
Lineage: Bacteria
Description: partial 16S ribosomal RNA
Rfam family: Bacterial small subunit ribosomal RNA
Source: RNAcentral
AGUGAACGCUGGCGGUAUGCCUAACACAUGCAAGUCGAACGGCAGCACAGUAAGAGCUUGCUCGUACGGGUGGCGAGUGGCGGACGGGUGAGGAAUAAAUCGGAAUCUACUUGUUCGUGGGGGAGAACGUAGGGAAACUUACGCUAAUACCUCAUACGACCUACGGGUGAAAGCAGGGGAUCUUCGGACCUUGCGCGAUUGAAUGAGCCGAUGUCGGAUUAGCUAGUCGGCGGGGUAAAGGCCCACCCAGGCGACGAUCCGUAGCUGGUCUGAGAGGAUGAUCAGCCACACUGGAACUGAGACACGGUCCCGACUCCUACGGGAGGCAGCAGUAGGGAUUAUUGGACAAUGGGCGCAAGCCUGAUCCAGCCGUACCGCGUGGGUGAAGAAGGCCUUCGGGUUGUAAAGCCCUUUUGUUGGGAAAGAAAAGCAGCCGGUUAAUACCCCGCUGUUCUGACGGUACCCAAAGAAUAAGCACCGGCUAACUUCGUG